Long non-coding RNA from Frieseomelitta varia, 2265 nucleotides. RefSeq lists it as uncharacterized. The transcript has 2 exons. Lineage: Eukaryota; Metazoa; Arthropoda; Insecta; Hymenoptera; Apidae. The record is from RefSeq and is a predicted model, not a curated record.
CAUUAAUAUUUCACAAUUUGUUAUAAUUAUAAAACUACAUUCCUUCCUUUCUCUUAAAAAUGUAAUUAUAAAAUUAAUUGAUUAUAAAUUUCGCGUGAAUUGUUUUCCUUUAUUGCCGUUAACAUUAAAGUAUACGUAAAAAAUAUAUACUGUAGAAACAUUAUGCAUAAUUAAUCUAAAUUUUUCAGAGUGAAAAUGUUUCUUUUUUGCCUAUAACAAUAAAUAUGUAAUGAUAAUUUAAUUGGUUUGCAUACACAUUGUAGAAAGAUAAUUUUAUCGAUAUUGGCUUAUUGUAUCAAAUAGAUGUAAAGAUAUUUUAAGAGAUAUUUAAUUAAUAAUGCCGUCUUCUAAAAAUAUUAUACUAUAUCUCAAUACGACGAGGAUCCUGAACACACAACAGAAGCGUGUAAAAUCAGAAUUUAAAAAUUUGUUGUAUCACUGUGCUCCACACAGAAUUUCAAUUUCAAUUCCAUUCAGAAUCUAUACUUCAAACGAAAAGUGUAAGAUCUGUAAAUGUGACAUCAAUGCUGAAUUUCUGAAGUAAAUCGAACGAUAUUGAAAUUAAAUUCAUCCUAAUUGUUGAUGAAAUCUUGUACAACGGGGUGCGAGAGUGCAAUAAAGCCAUCUUAAAAACUGAAAGAUCAUAGAGUGAAUGUCAUAUUGAACAAAAAUUUGAUUGGGAAAACAAAUCGUGCAAAAUAUUACUUUUUAUAGGCAACUGAAAAGAUAUUGGCGGUAUUGAAAAAUUAUUUACGUUCGCUUUAAUUACUCAAAAUGUUUCUAUUGUUGUUCAUUUUCUGUGUAUGUUAAUAUUAACGGCAACUAGGAAAAAUGUUUCGUUAGAAGAAAAUUGAAACGUGUCGAGCAGAAUUUAAAGAUGCUUAGAUAUUCUUCGAAUUUUGUGGACAAGAGUUACGAGCCCCUCGGUUCUUCGUUUCUUCUCGAUGUGAUUGCAAAUUCGUCGGAUCUUUCGCGUUCUCGAUGGACCUAUCCGACGAGUCUAUCGUAAUUUGAGCUUUUUUUUUUUUUUUAAAUCGCUGUUCGAUUUUAAAUGCACCCGACAUAGAGAAAGGAAAAAGAAGAAGAAGAAAAAAAAAAAAAUGGAUCGCCCGUUUUUUCCUGCGAAGUCGCCGUUGUCAAACUUCUGAUUCGCGUAAAAGAAUACAGAAAAAUUCUUAAGAGAGGGAAAAAGGGAGUUCAGAGCGGCGAGCUUCUUGAAAACUUUUUUCAAAUAAUAACCCGAAGAAACUCUUUAAUAUUAAACAAAAAAAAGAAAAAAACGUAAAAAAAUAAAAAAAAUAAAAAUAAAAAAGCAUAGGCAUUAAGGUACUCUCUCUCUAUAACGUAACGUAAACGUGUAAGGGCUGUCAUUGUAUUAAAAUAAUGAAUUAAACUACGGCAGAACCUACACUAUAACAGUACGAUAGUAAGCAAAAAUAAACCCAAAGAGACGUAUACACGACGUGGCCAGGAAGAGUCGUUCGAUGACUCCAAAAAAAAAGGGGAGGAAAAAAUGAAAUAAGAAAAUUCUAUUUUAAUCUCAGAAAUUCUUUCUUCUCUUUUAUUUUGUUGUUUCUUUUGUUUCUUCUUCGUCUUCGGUUUAUGGUCGUCGAAGAGACCACUUCCUUGACACUCGGUAUAGUUCAGGAAAAUAAUUUAUAAUUAGGGAGCAACCGAAUGUGUGCGUGCGUGAAAGUGAAAAAAUAAGAAGUAAAAAAAAAAAAAAGAAAAAAUAAAAACUAAAAGCAAAAAAACGCGAUACGAAGAGAUACUACGAAUUACGUAUGAGAACGUUUGAAUUUCGUCUGGUCGCGGUGAGAAAAUGACCGAUACGAGAGUGGCAGAGUGAGUGGGAGAGUUUGCGAAUGGGGAGAAUGGACAUUUAUAAAUCUAUUAUUGUAAUAAUUAUAGAAACAGUGGAGCAUAAUGUAUAUGUACGUUUCUUUACUUCCUGCGGUGAGCCAGAGAGCAGUAAGAUAGUUCUUAAGAGCACGCGUAAUAAAAAGAAAACAAAAGAAAGAGGUACGUCGUAUAGCAUAUAUUACGAGAUAAAACGAACGGAAAGGGAAAUGGUCGAACAGAAAUAAACGAGAUUCAAAACGCCAACAAACAUAAAGCGAAUAAAUAUGUUUGAAAAGAAAAAAAAAAAAAAAAAAAGAAUAGAAGAUGGAAGAAAAAUGAAACAAGAGAGGCAAGGUUCGACGCAAUUUUACGACGGAAGGAAAAGUAAUUUCAUUCCGAUAUCAUCCUAUAUAAACAUAUAAA